MicroRNA precursor from Gossypium arboreum, 146 nucleotides. It matches the Rfam family "MIR7502 microRNA precursor family". Lineage: Eukaryota; Viridiplantae; Streptophyta; Magnoliopsida; Malvales; Malvaceae. The record is from Rfam.
UGUUAAAUAUACAAUCCUUAUUUAUUGUUAAAAACUAGCGUGAUAAACAUAAUAAGCAAACAAUAACACAUGGGCGUGUCAUGUGUACCUCAUGUUGAAGUACAAUGACUCAUUUUUAACCGUAAAAAUAGAUGAAAUAUUUAAUA